GAUGAACGCUGGCGGCGUGCCUAAUACAUGCAAGUCGAGCGAACGGACGAGAAGCUUGCUUCUCUGAUGUUAGCGGCGGACGGGUGAGUAACACGUGGAUAACCUACCUAUAAGACUGGGAUAACUUCGGGAAACCGGAGCUAAUACCGGAUAAUAUUUUGAACCUCAUGGUUCAAAAGUGAAAGACGGUCUUGCUGUCACUUAUAGAUGGAUCCGCGCUGCGUUAGCUAGUUGGUAAGGUAACGGCUUACCAAGGCAACGAUGCAUAGCCGACCUGAGAGGGUGAUCGGCCACACUGGAACUGAGACACGGUACAGACUCCUACGGGAGGCAGCAGUAGGGAAUCUUCCGCAAUGGGCGAAAGCCUGACGGAGCAACGCCGCGUGAGUGAUGAAGGUCUUCGGAUCGUAAAACUCUGUUAUUAGGGAAGAACAUAUGUGUAAGUAACUGUGCACAUCUUGACGGUACCUAAUCAGAAAGCCACGGCUAACUACGUG
This 497-nucleotide ribosomal RNA is filed under the name uncultured bacterium. RNAcentral describes it as "partial 16S ribosomal RNA". It matches the Rfam family "Bacterial small subunit ribosomal RNA", at positions 28 to 507 of the family's 1533-position model. The record is from RNAcentral.